GACGAACGCUGGCGGCGUGCUUAACACAUGCAAGUCGAACGGAAAGGCCCUGCUUGCAGGGUACUCGAGUGGCGAACGGGUGAGUAACACGUGGGUGAUCUGCCCUGCACUUCGGGAUAAGCCUGGGAAACUGGGUCUAAUACCGGAUAGGAGCCAUUUUGAGAGUGAUGGUUGGAAAGUCUUUUCGGUGUAGGAUGAGCUCGCGGCCUAUCAGCUUGUUGGUGGGGUAAUGGCCUACCAAGGCGGCGACGGGUAGCCGGCCUGAGAGGGUGGACGGCCACCUUGGGACUGAGAGGCGGCCCAGACUCCUACGGGAGGCAGCUGUGGGGAAUCUUGCUCCAUGGGCGCCAGCCUGAUGCAGCGACGCCGCGUGGGGGAUGACGGCCUUCGGGUUGUAAACUCCUUUCGCUAGGGACGAAGCUUUUUGUGACGGUACCUAGAUAAGAAGCACCGGCUAACUACGUG
This 465-nucleotide ribosomal RNA is filed under the name uncultured bacterium. Its description in RNAcentral is "partial 16S ribosomal RNA". It matches the Rfam family "Bacterial small subunit ribosomal RNA", at positions 28 to 507 of the family's 1533-position model. The record is from RNAcentral.